Molecule: ribosomal RNA, 468 nt
Filed under: uncultured bacterium
Lineage: Bacteria
Description: partial 16S ribosomal RNA
Rfam family: Bacterial small subunit ribosomal RNA
Source: RNAcentral
GACGAACGCUGGCGGCGUGCUUAACACAUGCAAGUCGAACGGAAAGGCCCUGCUUUUGUGGGGUGCUCGAGUGGCGAACGGGUGAGUAACACGUGAGUAACCUGCCCUUGACUUUUGGAUAACUUCAGGAAACUGGGGCUAAUACCGGAUAUGAGCUCCUGCUGCAUGGUGGGGGUUGGAAAGUUUCGGCGGUUGGGGAUGGACUCGCGGCUUAUCAGCUUGUUUGUGGGGUAGUGGCUUACCAAGGCUUUGACGGGUAGCCGGCCUGAGAGGGUGACCGGCGACAUUGGGACUGAGAUACGGCCCAGACUCCUACGGGAGGCAGCAGGGGGGAAUAUUGCACAAUGGGCGGAAGCCUGAUGCAGCAACGCCGCGUGCGGGAUGACGGCCUUCGGGUUGUAAACCGCUUUCGCCUGUGACGAAGCGUGAGUGACGGUAAUGGGUAAAGAAGCAACGGCUAACUACGUG